GCCCUUAUGGUGUAGCGGUAGCACAUUCGGCAUGUAUUCGAGAGGUCCAGGUUUGAGUCCCAGAGAGGGCA
Molecule: transfer RNA, 71 nt
Filed under: Stegodyphus mimosarum
Lineage: Eukaryota; Metazoa; Arthropoda; Arachnida; Araneae; Eresidae
Rfam family: tRNA
About the family: Transfer RNA (tRNA) molecules are approximately 80 nucleotides in length. Their secondary structure includes four short double-helical elements and three loops (D, anti-codon, and T loops).
Source: Rfam by way of RNAcentral